UGGAUAGAUUAUUGUAUUCAACUGUAUUCGACUGUAUUCACGGUGUGAAACAGGGGAUUACACUAUUUUUAAACGGAAGUGAAUCAAUUAACAUAAUAGACUCCU
This 105-nucleotide microRNA precursor is filed under the name Nicotiana sylvestris (wood tobacco). Its description in RNAcentral is "MIR6152 microRNA precursor family". It matches the Rfam family "MIR6152 microRNA precursor family". The record is from Rfam by way of RNAcentral. Lineage: Eukaryota; Viridiplantae; Streptophyta; Magnoliopsida; Solanales; Solanaceae.